Molecule: non-coding RNA, 656 nt
Organism: Macaca mulatta (Rhesus monkey)
Lineage: Eukaryota; Metazoa; Chordata; Mammalia; Primates; Cercopithecidae
Source: RefSeq, a predicted model, not a curated record
AUUCCCCUCUUCCAGAGGGGCCUCUUUAACGGCUCCCCAUGAAAUAAUCAUUCAUUAUGUCACCAGGAGGGAAGAAAGGGAGUAUUUUGUGAAGCCGUCCCAUUCAAAGCCACCCCCAGAGGCCGGGAGGAGACCACAAAGCUGAGAACACAGCCGGGACCUGCCCACUGACACACUGAAGACUCAACACGAUUCAGGAAAGCACUUUCAAAGAGUGUUUUUUCUUGGACAGAUAACAUUCCGUUUUGUUUCUGAGAGGCAAGGACAAUCUCUAGUUCGAUUGUAAAACUAUUUCCUUCAAAUGUACAUUUUUAUCUAUGGAGAGUGGUGAUAAUUGGGGUUUUACAAACCUAAGAAGUUUACAUUUGGCAACAGUGAUUGUUGCCAUUACAACUACAAUGUAAAAACCAGAUUCUCUUUUGGUGUGCAUCCUCCCCUCUUUGGUUUCAAGGGUGACUUUCCCACGCAUAUCUACCACUCACUUGGAAAGUCCGAGUCUGGAAACAUUUUAGCACAUAGGUAACCUUCAUUCCAUUGUGGCCCACACAUUUGCCUGACCUGAUACUCUCCCCCAAAACUCUUAUAUUUGCAAACUAAAACAUUAACUCUUGAUUCCUCCUCCCCGACCUUUUAAAAAUAAAAAUAGCUCUUCCAGA